RNAcentral lists this ribosomal RNA (95 nucleotides) under Lepisosteus oculatus (spotted gar). Lineage: Eukaryota; Metazoa; Chordata; Actinopteri; Semionotiformes; Lepisosteidae. The record is from RNAcentral.
GCCGGCAGUCAUAUCACCCUGAAGCUCAGCAGGUGUGAGCCUGGUCAGUACCUGGAUGGGAGACCUCCUGGGAGAAACUAAGGCUGCUGCUGGAC